AAAGCAGCAGACAUGUUGAUGGGGAGUUAUCAAUGAAAAAUGACAUCUUGUUAAGUUAGGAAUUCUCUUUGUGUUAGCAAGGUUUCUCUAGUUAAUACCACACCUUUCUUCAUCUGCCCUGCUGUAAUUGGAAUGCACAGUGAAAAUGUCUGUCUUAUUUCAGCCCAGAAAAGAACAAUGAAAGAAAUGGAAAGCACACCAGGCGAUAGGCUUUCUAAUCAAUGUUGUAACUCAGUGUUCAAAAGUAGGCUUGUACUUUUUAAUGAGGACAGAGGGAUUUGUAACUCCCAGCUUCUCUACCAAAGGAGAUUAUAGGUCCAAUUUAUGAGACUUUCACUUCAACUGUGGAGAGAAACUCAUGUCUUUGUUAUGGGAGGACUGUUUGUUGUUUCUGUUGUUCUCAGACAAAACUCUUCUAAACAUGAGGAUGUGUCUACAGUGUUAGACUCCAAGCUACCUCCCAUAUCUAGGAUAGUAUAUUAUCUGAGAGAUGAGGCAAGGGCUACAGUCAUUUGAUAGAGGAUGUGUGCCUGUAUCAAUGAGAGAGAGAGAGAGAGAGAGAGAGAGAGAGAGAGAGAAAUAGGUAGAUUGAGAGAGAGAGAGAGAGAGAGAGAGAGAGAGAGAGAGAGAGAGAUUGAGAGAGAAAUAGGUAGAUUGAGAGAGAGAAAUAGGUAGAUUGAGAGAGAGAAAUAGGUAGAUUGAGAGAGAGAAAUAGGUAGAUUGAGAGAGAGGAAGGAAGAGAGAGAAGAGAAGAAGAGAAAGAACAUCUGUGUGUGUGUGUUUAUUUUAAGUGUGUGUGUGUGUGUGUAUGUAUGCGUGUGUGUGUGUGUGUGUGUGUGUGACCCAUCAUGUUUCCCCACACAGUGUCAUGAAGCAGGCGGCAGUGUAAGAGGUCAGGUCAGACGUGGCAGUGACCUCCCCAUCACCGAGGCACCAUGUCACCUUCCGGGCAGGCCAAACAAACAGGACACACAUACACACACAAACGCACACACACACAAACACACACACUCCGCACACACACCACACACACCACAACACACACACACACACACACACACACACACACACACACACACACACACACACACACACACACACACACACACACACACACAUACACUGGCCUCCGGCAAGCCGGCUCUACAGGGUGGCCCUGCCAGGUCACGCUACCCCUAUCUCCCUCCCUCCUCCAUAGUCUGAUUGAUGCUGCUCAUUAUUUUAACCCCAGAAACAGAGGACAAUUACAAACACAGAGAUGAGGGGAUGAGGGGAGAGGUUAUUCAUCCAUGCCCAGAGGACAGAGAGAACUGGGCGAGGGGUAAAAGGAGGAGAGAUGAGAUGAACUAUGUGUCUGUGUUUACAACAGAGGGGUUGUAUCCUGUAGCUACACCAGGUCACAUAUAACUGUCACAACCAGCAACUCCUAUCUAAUGGAUGUGGCUCUGGCCUGUGACUAAUGUCACUUGUCUAAUGUUCUGUCACAUGGUAGCUGUGUCGCUACCUCAUAAUGAAAAAGUAGACUGUUGUAUAGUGACACUUCCUGACAUUUCCAUUCCUUCAACUAUAAGACCUGUACCCUUCUGAUCCCAAGAGCCAACAUUACACACUAAGAGACACUUCCAUUGUGCUCUAGCUAGAAGUUUGAAGAGCCAUAGUGUUUCAUAAUGAAAUGGUGAAACUGUGUAGCGCAGUGCCCCAAAAUUAAACCCUGCCUGUUCUGAAAAACAGGAGGACUGAGGGUUCACAACCAAAUACUGUUUUAAUGUGUUUUUUAUUCUCCCCAUAUUUUCUCUGAUUGUUUUGGAAAAUUUAAACAGACUGUGAAGGAAUGAGGGGUGUAUGUCAUCUCAGCUCACUGAACUACCUAUAUUUACCGCUGAAAGUGAAUUCUUUAUGAGACUACGAAUAUCAAAGACAGGAGGAUCAAAGUGGAUUUAAUAAGCCAGCUAGUGUUCUUGGAAAACCUGGACUUUCAUCUAGUGCAUUUUCCUUGGUUUCUUCAGUUUGGGAUUAUGCCAAGGAUCGACACUAAAGGCAAAACAUCUGUAGUCACAUUGGCAUCACGUAUUUUUAAUUUGUUAGUCUGUUACACCUUUGUAGCUGGAAAAUGUCCCAGCAGCUAACAAGUUGCCUCUUCGACUGUCUAUCUCAGUUUUUCUACUCCCCAAUGAAAUGUGGUUGUCAUUUAAAAGGAGUGUCUCUUCUCUUCACAUUACACUUCUGUUGGCACAUGUUAGCUUUGUUUUCCCCAACUGCCUGGGAUGUUAAUGGAGUCUAUGAUCUGGAGAGGAUAGGAGCAGAGAGGGAGAGAGACACUGCAGGACUGGCAGGCAGUAGUGCACGUCAGGAGUGGACGUCUCAUGUCCCCUGCAGACAAACAGUAAACACAGGCUGGUUCUGUUUGAAGAAACUGCUACUUUCUCCAGUUGUUAUGGGGCUGUUUUAAAUGGGACAGUUCACCCUCUGCUUAGCCAUGCUGGAGAAGAUUUGACACCUAAUAGAGCUCUAUUAAAACUAGAAAUGCCACAUGGGGAAUGAUUACUUUUUGUAAUCUCUAUCUGAAAAGUACACUGCCACUAGCUGAAACCGAUCAAACAAAAAUACUGAGGCAGGAAAUUCGUUUUUGUGCUUCAUCCAUCGAUGUUCC
Molecule: long non-coding RNA, 2650 nt
Filed under: Salmo salar (Atlantic salmon)
Lineage: Eukaryota; Metazoa; Chordata; Actinopteri; Salmoniformes; Salmonidae
Description: lncRNA (ENSSSAG00000096239.1)
Source: RNAcentral